GUAUGAUGGACAACUGACACAACGGGUGACUUGGAUGCAUUAGGGACUCUGAACGACAUCGGAGGAACCGAUGAAACAGACAGUAUUAUGCCUUUUUGUAUGAAAGGUUUUCCAAACACCAAGAACAGAGAAUGUAAACGUCACGACAACUCCCCCGGGAACCUCAACCCACUCGCUACACAUUCCAUGCCCCAACAACCAACGCAAAACUGUGGCCCAAGUGCAUUGCGCAGAAUCACCCUGGCCCAAGAAGGGCUACAGGGCUGAAAAUGUACGGAUUCAAGAACUGGCGCUCUAUGGAUACGGACUCCAACGAGACCGGCCCUGCAGAAUCUGGAACGCUUGAUGAAAAAAGUCUAGAGCCCUCGGUAUCCACGAUUUGUCAGAACAGCCAGCGCCAAAAAAGCAUUUUAACUAUACUCCUCCCCGGCGAAAAAAACGGCACAGAAGGCCACAUACAGCUGGGGGAUUCCGGCUCACCGGAAGUUUUCCCUCCAUGUGUAGAUCAACCAUCCUGCAUGUAAAUCCUGGGUAUGCCCACAUCAUUAAUGAAUAAGAUGUGUAGAAAACUGUUUAGCCAUAAGUAAAGGCCUUUCAUAAAGAGGCUGUCAUGAUUGCCUGUGCCACAUGUUUAACACGUAUUGCUUGUUACCGUAUACUACUGUUGUACAUUUAAUAUUCACUAGCAGAUUUCGUCGCAUUUGCACAAAUUCUGUCAUGUUACUGUGGUCUUUCUAAAUGACAAUAAAUAUGUGUAUAAAGUGUACAUGUUUGUUUCACUGUAGAUUUGUUUAAGCCCUCCUAGAAACAUCUAAUUUUAUCCCACCGCAUUAAUUAACAAGCUGUGUAGAAGCUGUUGAGCCAAAACAUCACUGCUCUAGAGGAGAUCUGCAUGGAGGAAUGGGCCAAAAUACCAGUAGUGUGUGAAAACCUUGUAA
Molecule: long non-coding RNA, 938 nt
Organism: Oncorhynchus gorbuscha (pink salmon)
Lineage: Eukaryota; Metazoa; Chordata; Actinopteri; Salmoniformes; Salmonidae
Exons: 3
Source: RefSeq, a predicted model, not a curated record